AGGCCCUGGGGAGGGCUGUUGGCGGCUGCUGCUCCUGCUGCAGGCUUGUGUGACCUGAAUGAAGGAAGGAGAAAAAGGAGAUAUAAAAGCUCAUUAGAUUUCCAUCCCUUAAAAGAGCUGGGGUUUCAAGAAUUGGGGGGCUUUUGUUCUCGGGGGUGUGUGUGUCACAAAGCAAAAUGGAGACCCUCUGCUGCUGAAUUGGCACUUGGGUGCUGUGCUUUUGCCAAGUGAUGGACAUUUGUUGAGGACGUGCCAAUGACCCAUGUAUAUCCUGGACAGAAUGGUCAUGAAUUCCACUGUAUUAAUAAUUUGGUAAAGCCUAACCUUGGGUAAAAGACUUGGAAGAACUUGACAGGAAUGGAAAUCAGUGAAAUGUACAAGAACAGCAAACAGAGAUGGCAAAAGGAAGAGCUCCUAGUCUCACCUCUGAAAUCUCAUUCUUCCAGUACACCAAGAAGAACAAGUUUGGUCAUCUGCGGAUAUUCUCUGAAGUACAUUUAAUGUCUGUUGGUCGGUGGCCCUAGUAGCAUGGAUUAUGGCCAGGUUUCCCCUUCAUUGCAAUGCUGCCCUAAGUGAAUCUGCUCCAGGCCACCCAGAGAACAGAUAUAAAAUGUAACCAUCUACCAACGCUAUCAUAUGCAACAAACAGUCUCAGGAGAAUAAUCAAAAUUAUCAACAGGCAGAACCAGACUGCUCACAUACUGAGUGGAAGGUGUAGCCUUUCUCUGUAGUCUUGUUUGAGUAUGACUAAAAUGAGUAUAUCCAUGUAUUUUAUUGUUAUUGAAUUAAUUUAUUUUAUCGUUAUUGUAUUUAUUUAUUUUAUUGUUAAAUUUAUAUAGUGUUUCAUU
Long non-coding RNA from Hemicordylus capensis (graceful crag lizard), 848 nucleotides. RefSeq lists it as uncharacterized. The transcript is spliced from 5 exons. Lineage: Eukaryota; Metazoa; Chordata; Lepidosauria; Squamata; Cordylidae. The record is from RefSeq and is a predicted model, not a curated record.